UCAUCUUCGGGGGUAGAGCACUGUUUCGACUAGGGGGUCAUCCCGACUUACCAACUCGAUGCAAACUGCGAAUACCGAAGAAUGUUAUCACGGGAGACACACGGCGGGUGCUAACGUCCGUCGUGAAGAGGGAAACAACCCAGACCGCCAGCUAAGGUCCCAAAGUCAUGGUUAAGUGGGAAACGAAGUGGGAAGGCUCAGACAGCCAGGAUGUUGGCUUAGAAGCAGCCAUCAUUUAAAGAAAGCGUAAUAGCUCACUGGUCGAGUCGGCCCGCGCGGAAGAUGUAACGGGGCUAAACCAUGCACCGAAGCUGCGGCAGCGACACAAAGUGUUGUUGGGUAGGGGAGCGUUCUGUAAGCCUGCGAAGGUGUACUGUGAGGUAUGCUGGAGGUAUCAGAAGUGCGAAUGCUGACAUAAGUAACGAUAAUGCGGGUGAAAAACCCGCACGCCGGAAGACCAAGGGUUCCUGUCCAACGUUAAUCGGGGCAGGGUGAGUCGACCCCUAAGGCGAGGCUGAAAAGCGUAGUCGAUGGGAAACGGGUUAAUAUUCCCGUACUGGUGGUAACUGCGAUGGGGGAACGGAGAAGGCUAGGUUGUCCGGGCGACGGUCGUCCCGGUUCAAGCAGGUAGGCAGAGUGAUUAGGCAAAUCCGGUCACUUAAUGCUGAGAUGUGAUGACGAACCACCAAGGUGGUGAAGCAAUUGAUGCCCCGCUUCCAGGAAAAGCCUCUAAGCUUCAGGUUACCAACAAUCGUACCCCAAACCGACACAGGUGGUCAGGUAGAGAAUACUCAGGCGCUUGAGAGAACUCGGGUGAAGGAACUAGGCAAAAUGGUGCCGUAACUUCGGGAGAAGGCACGCUGGCGGUAGGUAAAGUCCCUCGCGGACGGCGCUGAAGCCAGUCGAAGAUACCAGCUGGCUGCAACUGUUUAUUAAAAACACAGCACUGUGCAAACACGAAAGUGGACGUAUACGGUGUGACGCCUGCCCGGUGCUGGAAGGUUAAUUGAUGGGGUUAGCGCAAGCGAAGCUCCUGAUCGAAGCCCCAGUAAACGGCGGCCGUAACUAUAACGGUCCUAAGGUAGCGAAAUUCCUUGUCGGGUAAGUUCCGACCUGCACGAAUGGCGUAAUGAUGGCCAGGCUGUCUCCACCCGAGACUCAGUGAAAUUGAACUCGCUGUGAAGAUGCAGUGUACCCGCGGCAAGACGGAAAGACCCCGUGAACCUUUACUAUAGCUUGACACUGAACAUUGAGCCUUGAUGUGUAGGAUAGGUGGGAGGCUUUGAAGUGUGGACGCCAGUCUGCAUGGAGCCAACCUUGAAAUACCACCCUUUAACGUUUGAUGUUCUAACCUAGGCCCAUAAACUGGGUCGGGGACCGUGUCUGGUGGGUAGUUUGACUGGGGCGGUCUCCUCCUAAAGAGUAACGGAGGAGCACGAAGGUUGGCUAAGCAUGGUCGGACAUCAUGCGGUUAGUGCAAAGGCAUAAGCCAGCUUGACUGCGAGAGUGACGGCUCGAGCAGGUACGAAAGUAGGUCUUAGUGAUCCGGUGGUUCUGAAUGGAAGGGCCAUCGCUCAACGGAUAAAAGGUACUCCGGGGAUAACAGGCUGAUACCGCCCAAGAGUUCAUAUCGACGGCGGUGUUUGGCACCUCGAUGUCGGCUCAUCACAUCCUGGGGCUGAAGUAGGUCCCAAGGGUAUGGCUGUUCGCCAUUUAAAGUGGUACGCGAGCUGGGUUUAGAACGUCGUGAGACAGUUCGGUCCCUAUCUGCCGUGGGCGUUGGAAGAUUGAGAGGGGUUGCUCCUAGUACGAGAGGACCGGAGUGAACGCACCACUGGUGUUCGGGUUGUCAUGCCAAUGGCAUUGCCCGGUAGCUAAGUGCGGAAGAGAUAACCGCUGAAAGCAUCUAAGCGGGAAACUUGCCUCGAGAUGAGUCUUCCCUGUCGCUUUAAGCGACCUAAAGGAACGUUUAAGACUAAGACGUUGAUAGGCUGGGUGUGUAAGCGUAGCGAUACGUUGAGCUAACCAGUACUAAUGAACCGUGAGGCUUAACCUG
This 2056-nucleotide ribosomal RNA is filed under the name Proteus mirabilis. Its description in RNAcentral is "partial 23S ribosomal RNA". It matches the Rfam family "Bacterial large subunit ribosomal RNA", at positions 890 to 2925 of the family's 2925-position model. Lineage: Bacteria; Pseudomonadati; Pseudomonadota; Gammaproteobacteria; Enterobacterales; Morganellaceae. The record is from RNAcentral.